AGAGGGUGCAAGCGUUGUCCGGAAUCACUGGGCGUAAAGGGCGCGUAGGCGGCCCGAUAAGUAGGGGGUGAGAUCUUGCGGCUCAACCGCAAGGCUGCCUUCUAGACUGUCGGGCUUGAGCACAGUAGAGGCAGGUGGAAUUCCCGGUGUAGCGGUGGAAUGCGUAGAGAUCGGGAAGAACAUCGGUGGCGAAGGCGGCCUGCUGGGCUGUUGCUGACGCUGAGGCGCGACAGCGUGGGGAGCAAACAGGAUUAGAUACCCUGGUAGUCCACGCCGUAAACGAUGGGCACUAGGCGUCGGGGGGAGCGACCCUCCCGGUGCCGUCGCUAACGCAGUAAGUGCCCCGCCUGGGGAGUACGGCCGCAAGGCUG
RNAcentral lists this ribosomal RNA (371 nucleotides) under uncultured bacterium. RNAcentral's name for it is "bacterial SSU rRNA". It matches the Rfam family "Bacterial small subunit ribosomal RNA", at positions 527 to 896 of the family's 1533-position model. The record is from RNAcentral.